GACCUCAAAUCAGGUAGGACUACCCGCUGAACUUAAGCAUAUCAAUAAGCGGAGGAAAAGAAACUAACAAGGAUUCCCCUAGUAACUGCGAGUGAAGAGGGAAAAGCUCAAAUUUAAAAUCUGACAGUCUUUGGCUGACCGAGUUGUAAAUUAGAGAAGUGCUAUCUGCGCUGGCCUGUGCAAAAGUCUCUUGGAAAAGAGCAUCAUAGAGGGUGACAAUCCCGUCUUUGGUACAGAGCUCCAGGGCUUCAUGAUGUGCUCUCAAUGAGUCGAGUUGUUUGGGAAUGCAGCUCUAAAUGGGUGGUAAAUUCCAUCUAAAGCUAAAUAUUGGCGAGAAACCGAUAGCGCACAAGUACCGUGAGGGAAAGAUGAAAAGAACUUUGAAAAGAGAGUUAAACAGUACGUGAAAUUGUUGAAAGGGAAACGC
RNAcentral lists this ribosomal RNA (427 nucleotides) under uncultured fungus. Its description in RNAcentral is "eukaryotic LSU rRNA". It matches the Rfam family "Eukaryotic large subunit ribosomal RNA", at positions 1 to 422 of the family's 3401-position model. Lineage: Eukaryota; Fungi. The record is from RNAcentral.